Macaca mulatta (Rhesus monkey) is the source of this 2632-nucleotide non-coding RNA. NCBI's taxonomy places the organism in Eukaryota, Metazoa, Chordata, Mammalia, Primates, Cercopithecidae. The record is from RefSeq and is a predicted model, not a curated record.
CGCACCACUGCACUUGAGUCUGGGAGACAGAGCAAAACUCUGUCUUAAAAAAACCAAAAAAAUUUGACUACCUUUGCUCUAGAAAACAUAGGGUAUCUGGUUUAAAUGCCAGUUAGUUCCACUAGGCUUUGGUGGCCCACUGUGAAAGUUGCUGUUGGAUGUACACACACACACACACACACACACACACACACACACACACACACACACACACACACACACACACACAGUCCUGAGGCAGUAGGAUGAGUCUGUCUUCAUCCCUUUCUCUGGGGAGUUCUCCAGGUGUGGUAGCUUUGGAUAGAGCCUCCCCUCAUUCAGUUAUUCAGCAAACACUCAAGCAGAGGCUACUACAUGCCAGUCACUCUGCUAAGCAGGGAGGUGAAAAGGUUACUAAUAAAUACACAGUUCCUCUUCUCCAGGAACUCACUGUUUGACCAAUGAGACAGACGUGAAGCUCUAAUUACAACAACAUGCAAUCAAGCCUGUGCCUGAGUAUCGAGUCUAUGGGAAUGCAGAGGAGAAAUGAUUCAUUUGCCUGGCUUCUUGGGAAGCGAGAGGAUCUCAGCCUAUUGGGGAGACAGCUAUAACCACCAGCAACCAUGGCCAGCACAGAGGGAGCAAUUAAGUUGGCCACAGAAGAGAUAAUACUUCAACUGAGCUUUUCUUCUAGAAGAUGAAUCAAUUUUGUGAGGGCUUGGCCAAUAUCAAUGUCUUCAUGACUCAUCAGCUCGUUGCUAAUCCAAGGACAGCAAAUAACUACAAAUGCUGUAAGUAAGCCCAGUUAUAGACUGCUGAUGAAUUUGGUGGUCCUGGUAUGUGCCCUGCCCAAGAAUGACGGUGUCUGUCUAGGGAAUAUUUCUUUGAAUAUAAAUAGUAGGUAGUGGUUUAUCUUAGUCCAUUUAGUGUUGCUACGUAGGAAUACCUGAGACUGGGUAAUUUACAAAGGGUUUAUUUGGCUCACGAAUCUGCUGACUAAAGACUGGGCAUCUGGUGAAAGCCUUGGGCUACUUCCACUUGUGAUGGAAGAAGGCAGAGGGGAGCUGCCCUGUUCAGAGAUCAUAUGGCAAGAAGGGGAGCAAGAGCUUGUAGACAUGUGAUGUAUGACAGUCUCCAUCUUCCAGGGACUUCUGCCUCCACCCCAUCUCUUUAUAACCAGAGCCCCCAGACAGGGAAGGACUGAGUCUUUUGUGGCUAGCACAUUGGAGAUAGUUGAUUUCAUGGGCAAAUUAUAUAGAGUGACAUUUACUUUUUAUGCUGGGAAAUUUCUUCCAACAAUAUAUUUUUGUCCAACCAUCUGCUUGAGUCAAGUUUCUGUCAGCCUCUGGAAGUAAUAAUUAUUCCCUGCUCUGAAACUGAGCUUCAUGCUGGCUUUCUGCUGAGGGAGCAGACCCUUUGGCUGUCUGUUAUCUAUUGUCAAGAGUUCUUUUGUCACUCACUAUUGUCAGCUGCUGAUUUUCCAACACACGCUUUAAGGCUAUAAAUAAACCCUCCCAACACAAAUCCCCCCCCUUAUGAAAGACAAAAUACACCAGUAAAUUAGGAUAUGAUUUUUAUUCAGGCUAUUGCAAUAGGGGGACAUUCGUUAAUAAGAAAUACCUCAAAGAAAAGGAAUGAGCCUGGCUUUUAUGGAGACAAAGAGAGUCUUAAGGGAGCGUGAGGAAGGAUGGAGGUGGCUCUUACUUCAGAAUAUGCAAAACCUGCAUGGCCCUUGGCAAUUAGCCAGUUCCUACAACCCAAAAGGGCAGAAGAUUUCUUAACAUCUCUACUUUUUAGAGUAUAAGACUUAGAUUAAGUUCCACAUUGUCAGUCCUCCCUUUUGUUGAAAAUGAACAUCAUUGCCACUGUUGGGACUCAGAAAACAAUACCCCAAAAUGAAAGCCUCCAAAGUAGCCUCAGAAGCAAAGUCUCUUUCUGACCUUCUGCGCCCCCCACCCUGUCUCUCACCCCUCAUUCUCCCCUGAGAUAAACCAUAGAAACUGUGAUCCCUCUUCCCCAAGAUGGGUCAUAGAAACAAGAACUCCUUUUCCCCAAAGCCAGCCAUAAAACCUAGAAAUAUUAUUCUAACCUUCCACCAUUCUUCUGUGUAACACUUAGCCAUAAAGAAACUAAGACCCCCAUCCCAGAGGGGUCCUACCCCAUACCUGGGAGGAAGGAAUGCUGCACGGAGAGGCCAAGAAGAAGCUGAACAGCCAGGCCUUGGGUGUUGGCCAUGAUCCUUAUGAUGGGGAGGAAAGGAAUCACCAAUUUUCUGCUCCCUCCCACUGAACAACUUAGAGAUGACCUAAGGCCUCCUUACCUGUGUGAAGUAACUGGGAAUUGGAAGGUGAGGUCCAGUUAUAUCCAAGUGUUGGCAUCAAACUGUGAAACACAAAAUGCACUGGACAAUUAAGGAUAUGAUUUUAUUCAUGCCGUUGCAAUAGGGAGAACAUUUAUUAAUGAAGAAUAACUCAAAGGAAAGGAAGGGGUCCUGGUCUCCCAUGAUUCCUCAUGGAAGCCUUGGGGAAGGAUGAAGGUGGGUCUUAUCACAGAAUAUUCCAGGGCUGGGUUGUCCUUUGUGGGGAUGGUUGUUUCUUUUGAAACAUAAAAGGGUAGGAGAUUUCUUUCUCUCUCUCUCUCUCUUUUUUUUUUU